UGGUUUAUGACGAGGUUGAAUCAUUAUAUGAACAUCUCGACCAUGGCCAUAAUGGUUCCCAAUGAGACUGAAAGAUCAUUCUGUCUUUAAAAACACCUGGUGCCGUCCUCCCAAAACAGUGGACACCAAGAAUUGCUGAAGAAAUUGUUUAACUAUACAGUGUAAUGAUCAAAGAGAAGAUGACGAUAUAAGCAGUGAAUUAUUUGAAGUAAGGUCAUUUACAAGAUGGAAGGCAGCUGACUCGUGUAGUACAUAAUGCAAGAAUUCCUUUCAUACAUAAUCGAUAAAAGCUAAAAUGGUGCCUGAGGAUCAUUACCAAGCAAGAAGACUGUACAGGCCUUCCUGAUAAAUACACCAAUUCUUGAGGGGAUUGCUGAAAACGACAAGAAGUAAAAGCUGUAAAACAGUAUAUUCAAUGAGCCCAAAAAACAAAGG
Anneissia japonica is the source of this 435-nucleotide long non-coding RNA. RefSeq lists it as uncharacterized. The transcript is spliced from 4 exons. NCBI's taxonomy places the organism in Eukaryota, Metazoa, Echinodermata, Crinoidea, Comatulida, Comatulidae. The record is from RefSeq and is a predicted model, not a curated record.